GAUGAACGCUGGCGGCGUGCUUAACACAUGCAAGUCGAACGGAAAGGCCCUAGCUUGCUGGGGUACUCGAGUGGCGAACGGGUGAGUAACACGUGGGUGAUCUGACCUGCAAGUUGGGAUAAGCUUGGGAAACUGGGUCUAAUACCGAAUAUGACUACUUCUUGGAGGUUGUGGUGGAAAGCUUUUGCGGUGUGGGAUGAGCCUGCGGCCUAUCAGCUUGUUGGUGGGGUAAUGGCCUACCAAGGCGGCGACGGGUAUCCGGCCUGAGAGGGUGUACGGACACAUUGGGACUGAGAUACGGCCCAGACUCCUACGGGAGGCAGCAGUGGGGAAUAUUGCACAAUGGGCGCAAGCCUGAUGCAGCGACGCCGCGUGGGUGAUGAAGGCCUUCGGGUUGUAAACUCCUUUCGCUAUCGACGAAGCCACUUGUGGUGACGGUAGUUAGAUAAGAAGCACCGGCUAACUACGUGCCAGCCGCCGCCGUAA
This 486-nucleotide ribosomal RNA is filed under the name uncultured bacterium. RNAcentral's name for it is "partial 16S ribosomal RNA". It matches the Rfam family "Bacterial small subunit ribosomal RNA", at positions 28 to 523 of the family's 1533-position model. The record is from RNAcentral.